This 497-nucleotide ribosomal RNA is filed under the name uncultured bacterium. RNAcentral describes it as "partial 16S ribosomal RNA". It matches the Rfam family "Bacterial small subunit ribosomal RNA", at positions 28 to 507 of the family's 1533-position model. The record is from RNAcentral.
GAUGAACGCUGGCGGCGUGCCUAAUACAUGCAAGUCGAGCGAACAGACGAGGAGCUUGCUCCUCUGACGUUAGCGGCGGACGGGUGAGUAACACGUGGAUAACCUACCUAUAAGACUGGGAUAACUUCGGGAAACCGGAGCUAAUACCGGAUAAUAUAUUGAACCGCAUUGUUCAAUGGUAAAAGACGGUUUUGCUGUCACUUAUAGAUGGAUCCGCGCCGCAUUAUAUGGUUGGUAAGGUAACGGCUUACCAAGGCAACGAUGCGUAACCGACCUGAGGGGGUGGUCGGCCACCCUGGAACUGAGACAGGGUCCAGACUCCUGAGGGAGGCAGCAGUAGGGAAUCUUACGCAAUGGGGGAAAGCCUGACGGAGCAACGCCGCGUGAGUGAUGAAGGUCUUCUGAUCGGAAAACUCUGUUAUUAGUGAAGAACAAAUGUGUAAGUAACUGUGCACGUCUUGACGGUACCUAAUCAGAAAGCCACGGCUAACUACGUG